Molecule: long non-coding RNA, 767 nt
Organism: Lycium barbarum (goji berry)
Lineage: Eukaryota; Viridiplantae; Streptophyta; Magnoliopsida; Solanales; Solanaceae
Exons: 3
Source: RefSeq, a predicted model, not a curated record
UGGGACUAAUUGUAACCGGUCCUCUCUCUGCCUUUAUAACUGUGGGAUGGCGUAUUUCCAUCAACACUAUUCUAAACAAAACAGUUAAGGAAAAAGAGAGAGAAAACAUGUUUCUCAAGAGAAAGCAAAAUCAGAAGACUUCCGCUCAAGAAAUCAAGAAAACACUAAUGGAUUCGGGUCACAGGUUCGAGCCGGGGAAGCACCCUUGGGGUGCGGCCAUUUCCUGACCCUACUAACACUGGAUGCUUUAUGCACCGGGCUGCCCUAAACACCUGUUGAUCUCAAAAUUAUCUUUUUGCGAAUUGCUUUGCGACAAGUAUGUUGGUGCGGUGGAAAAAAGUUCAAAGGUGAAGCUGGGGUGUUUGGCCACAAAAUUCCUACUGUUAGUGGGGUCAAAGGAAGGUUUGUUGUGGUUGGAGUGAAGGAAUGAGAAGUGAUGUGAAGAUUGUGAGAGAAGAGGCUCUAGUUUCUUUUUCAUAUUCUUUUCUGGAAUGAUGUGAAUUGAGUCUUUUUAAUCAAAUCUAUUUUGUGUAGUUUGCAUACUUUGAAUUUUGCUUUUGAUGUCACGACACAAAACUGUCUUAAUUCUAGUUGAAUCAAUUUCUUUGAUCAACCAUUAGACUUUUGCUUAUAAAAUCUUUCUUUGUUUAAAACAAAGUUAAAUCUAAUUUUAUUCGGUCAUAGUCCUCAGUAACUUCACAUUUCCAAUCAUAGUUGUUCAUAACUUCUUGAUAUGUAAAGCCUGGCAUGAAAACGAAUUAUUUCCC